RNAcentral lists this ribosomal RNA (492 nucleotides) under uncultured bacterium. Its description in RNAcentral is "partial 16S ribosomal RNA". It matches the Rfam family "Bacterial small subunit ribosomal RNA", at positions 29 to 507 of the family's 1533-position model. The record is from RNAcentral.
AGUGAACGCUGGCGGUAGGCCUAACACAUGCAAGCCGAACGGCAGCACAGUAAGAGCUUGCUCUUACGGGUGGCGAGUGGCGGACGGGUGAGGAAUACAUCGGAAUCUACUUUUUCGUGGGGGAUAACGUAGGGAAACUUACGCUAAUACCGCAUACGCCCUACGGGUGAAAGCAGGGGAUCUUCGGACCUUGCGCGAUUGAAUGAGCCGAUGUCGGAUUAGCUAGUUGGCGGGGUAAAGGCCCACCAAGGCGACGAUCCGUAGCUGGUCUGAGAGGAUGAUCAGCCACACUGGAACUGAGACACGGUCCAGACUCCUACGGGAGGCAGCAGUGGGGAAUAUUGGACAAUGGGCGCAAGCCUGAUCCAGCCAUACCGCGUGGGUGAAGAAGGCCUUCGGGUUGUAAAGCCCUUUUGUUGGGAAAGAAAAGCAGCAGGUUAAUACCCCGCUGUUCUGACGGUACCCAAAGAAUAAGCACCGGCUAACUUCGUG